CGGGAAUAUUGGUCAAUGGGGGAAACCCUGAACCAGCAAUGCCGCGUGAGUGACGAAGGUCUUCGGAUUGUAAAGCUCUGUCCUUGGGGAAGAUAAUGACGGUACCCAAGAAGAAAGCCACGGCUAACUACGUGCCAGCAGCCGCGGUAAUACGUAGGUGGCAAGCGUUGUCCGGAAUUAUUGGGCGUAAAGGGCGAGUAGGCGGCCGAUUGUGUCAGAUGUGAAAGGCUAGGGCUUAACCCUAACAUGGCAUUUGAAACUGAUUGGCUUGAGUGUAGGAGAGGGAAGCGGAAUUCCUAGUGUAGCGGUGAAAUGCGUAGAUACUAGGAGGAACACCAGUGGCGAAGGCGGCUUCCUGGCCUACAACUGACGCUGAUGCGCGAAAGCGUGGGGAGCAAAC
Molecule: ribosomal RNA, 400 nt
Filed under: uncultured bacterium
Lineage: Bacteria
Description: bacterial SSU rRNA
Rfam family: Bacterial small subunit ribosomal RNA
Source: RNAcentral